RNAcentral lists this ribosomal RNA (847 nucleotides) under Phellinus lundellii. Its description in RNAcentral is "eukaryotic LSU rRNA". It matches the Rfam family "Eukaryotic large subunit ribosomal RNA", at positions 81 to 906 of the family's 3401-position model. Lineage: Eukaryota; Fungi; Basidiomycota; Agaricomycetes; Hymenochaetales; Hymenochaetaceae. The record is from RNAcentral.
UAGUAACUGCGAGUGAAGAGGGAAAAGCUCAAAUUUAAAAUCUGGCGGGCUCUGCUCGUCCGAGUUGUAAUCUGGAGAAGCGUUUUCCGCGUCGGACCGUGCAUAAGUCUCCUGGAACGGAGCGUCAUAGAGGGUGAGAAUCCCGUCCAUGGCACGGACCGCCGAUGCUUUGUGAUACGUUUUCAAAGAGUCGAGUUGUUUGGGAAUGCAGCUCAAAACGGGUGGUAAAUUCCAUCUAAAGCUAAAUAUUGGCGAGAGACCGAUAGCGAACAAGUACCGUGAGGGAAAGAUGAAAAGCACUUUGGAAAGAGAGUUAAACAGUACGUGAAAUUGUUGAAAGGGAAACGCUUGAAGUCAGUCGCGUCCGACGGAACUCAGCCUUGCUUCGGCCUGGUGUACUUUCUGUCGGACGGGUCAACAUCAGUUUUGACCGGUGGAAAAAGGCAGGGGGAAUGUAGCGUCGCUUCGGCGGCGUGUUAUAGCCCCUUGCUGCAUGCAUCGGUCGGGACUGAGGACCGCAGCACGCCUUUUUGGCCGGGGGUUCGCCCCACGUACCGUGCUUAGGAUGUUGGCAUAAUGGCUUUAAGCGACCCGUCUUGAAACACGGACCAAGGAGUCCAACAUGCUUGCGAGUGUUCGGGUGGAAAACCCUUGCGCGCAAUGAAAGUAACAGUUGGGAACCUCCGCAAGGGGGUGCACCGACGCCCGGCCCUGAAGUUCUCUGACGGUGCUGCGGUAGAGCAAGUAUGCUGGGACCCGAAAGAUGGUGAACUAUGCCUGAAUAGGGCGAAGCCAGAGGAAACUCUGGUGGAGGCUCGUAGCGAUUCUGACGUGCAAAUCGAUCGUC